RNAcentral lists this ribosomal RNA (497 nucleotides) under uncultured bacterium. Its description in RNAcentral is "partial 16S ribosomal RNA". It matches the Rfam family "Bacterial small subunit ribosomal RNA", at positions 28 to 507 of the family's 1533-position model. The record is from RNAcentral.
GAUGAACGCUGGCGGCGUGCCUAAUACAUGCAAGUCGAGCGAACAGACGAGGAGCUUGCUCCUCUGACGUUAGCGGCGGACGGGUGAGUAACACGUGGAUAACCUACCUAUAAGACUGGGAUAACUUCGGGAAACCGGAGCUAAUACCGGAUAAUAUAUUGAACCGCAUGGUUCAAUAGUGAAAGACGGUUUUGCUGUCACUUAUAGAUGGAUCCGCGCCGCAUUAGCUAGUUGGUAAGGUAACGGCUUACAAAGGCAACGAUGCGUAGCCGACCUGAGAGGGUGAUCGGCCACCCUGGAACUGAGACACGGUCCAGACUCCUACGGGAGGCAGCAGUAUGGAAUCUUCCGCAAUGGGCGAAAGCCUGACGGAGCAACGCCGCGUGAGUGAUGAAGGUCUUCGGAUCGUAAAACUCUGUUAUUAGGGAAGAACAAAUGUGUAAGUAACUAUGCACGUCUUGACGGUACCUAAUCAGAAAGCCACGGCUAACUACGUG